GGCAGUGUGGCGUAGUGGUUAAGGUGUUGGACUGGGAUCUGGGAGACAUGGGUUCGAAUCCCCACUCUGCCA
RNAcentral lists this transfer RNA (72 nucleotides) under Sphaerodactylus townsendi. RNAcentral's name for it is "tRNA-Pro". It matches the Rfam family "tRNA". From Rfam's summary of the family: Transfer RNA (tRNA) molecules are approximately 80 nucleotides in length. Their secondary structure includes four short double-helical elements and three loops (D, anti-codon, and T loops). The record is from RNAcentral. Lineage: Eukaryota; Metazoa; Chordata; Lepidosauria; Squamata; Sphaerodactylidae.